This 253-nucleotide ribosomal RNA is filed under the name uncultured bacterium. RNAcentral's name for it is "partial 16S ribosomal RNA". It matches the Rfam family "Bacterial small subunit ribosomal RNA", at positions 524 to 776 of the family's 1533-position model. The record is from RNAcentral.
GACGAACCGUCCAAACGUUAUUCGGAAUCACUGGGCUUACAGAGUUCGUAGGCGGUCUGGAAAGUUGGGUGUGAAAUCCCUCGGCUCAACCGAGGAACUGCGCUUGAAACUACCAGACUCGAGGGAGAUAGAGGAAAGCGGAACUGAUGGCGGAGCGGUGAAAUGCGUUGAUAUCAUCAGGAACACCGGUGGCGAAGGCGGCUUUCUGGGUCUUACCUGACGCUGAGGAACGAAAGCCAGGGGAGCGAACGGG